RNAcentral lists this ribosomal RNA (1016 nucleotides) under uncultured bacterium. Its description in RNAcentral is "bacterial SSU rRNA". It matches the Rfam family "Bacterial small subunit ribosomal RNA", at positions 95 to 1126 of the family's 1533-position model. The record is from RNAcentral.
UCGUGCGACGGGUGAGUAUACGCAGAAUUUUUCCUUUUAGUUUAGUUCAAAAAUUUUUUUAAAGAAAUUAAAUGCUAAAUAAAAUAAAAAAGGUUCACAUUUGUGUUCCGCUAAAAGAUAAAUCUGCUUAAGAUUAGGUUGUUGGUAAUUUAACAGUUUACCAAGCCUGUGAUCUUUAGUUGGUCUUAGAGGAUGAUCAACCACACUGGAACUGAAAUAAGGUCCAGGCUGACUUGUCGGCCAGCAGUGAGGAAUAUUGGACAAUGAACGAAAGUUUGAUCCAGCAAUACUAAUUGGGUGAUGACGGCUUAUUUAAGUUGUAAGAUCCUUUAAUUAAAGAAGAUAAUGACAUUAUUUAAUUGAAUUAGUCCUGGCUAAUACUCGUGCCAGCAGCCGCGGUAAUACGGGAAGGGCAAGCGUUAUCCGGCAUGACUGGGCGUAAAGAGUCCGUAGACGGCAAAGUAAGUUUUUUGUUAAAUCUUAAAACUUAAUUUUAAAAGAGCAAUUAAUACUGCUUUGCUUCGAGUUUACUACAGAAGAGUAGAAUUUUAUACGAAGGGGUGAAAUCUAUAGAUAUAUAAAGGAAUGCCAGUAGCGAAGGCGACUCUUUAGUAUAAACUGACGUUGAGGGACGAAAGUGUGGGUAGCAAACAGGAUUAGAGACCCUGGUAGUCCACACCGUAAAUUCUGAGUGCUGUGAUUUAAUUGUAAUAUUUAAAAUAUUACUUAGAUCUUCAAGCUAACGCAAUAAGCACUCCGCCUGAAGAGUACGAUCGCAAGAUUGGAACUCAAAGGAAUUGACGGGGGUCUAACACUAGUGGUGGAGCAUGUGGUUUAAUGCGAUAAUCCGCGCAAAACCUUACCAAUUCUUGACAUAAUUAGAUUGUUUUUUAAUUCAGUGUACGAAUUCAAAAUAAGAUCUUUUUACAGUGUUGCACGACUGUCGUCAGCUCGUGUCGUGAGAUGUUUGGUUAAGUCCUGAACGGGCGCAACUCUACUUUUAAUAAGUAAUACGU